Molecule: long non-coding RNA, 971 nt
Organism: Amphiprion ocellaris (clown anemonefish)
Lineage: Eukaryota; Metazoa; Chordata; Actinopteri; Pomacentridae
Exons: 3
Source: RefSeq, a predicted model, not a curated record
AGCCAAUGAUGCGAUUCACAUACGUAUUUACCAUAGACUGUAUAUAAUGGUAUUUACGCAGCUAAUCAACGUCAGGCGUCCUUAUGUGCAGCCACCAUUGUUCUCAUAGAUAUGAAUGAGUAGAUAGGACACGCCCCUUUGAGCUGCGUGCUACAGCGAGGCUAAGCUAGUGGGGGCAAAGUUUCAGUGCAUUCCAUUGAUGUAAACGGCGUGAAAACGGAAACAAGUAUGCCGUCUCACUGUGCUGCAUACAAUUACACACUGCGUCGUACGAUUGAGACAAGGAAACUUGGAAUGACUUUUCAUAGGUUUCCCAGAGACUAUGGGUUGAGAAGGAAUUGGAAGUUUGUUGGCUUAGACCUGGUGUCAUUCCAUCAGUGUUAAACUUCCCGGCUCAUCUUGGAAGAGUACGUGCCAGAAAGACCACGACCAAGCAGCCUUGAGAUCUUAGGCAGCGUCUCCCUGAGGUCCCUCUCUAUCUCCCCACACAUCCACCAACCACUGGAACACAUCUCCAAAGUUCUGCCGGGCCAGCUCAGCUUCCCCUCAGAAGAAGUUCCGCCACCUGCCAGAUGAAGGAGCCUUUUGAGAGGCAGCUGGCAUCAUGAUUGGACUGUACUUUGGUCUGUUCCAAUCCAGCUUCAGCUCCAGAGACGGCAGGCGGGACGAGUCAACGGAGGCCUGGUGGACGAAGGCAUGCAGCUGAGUACAAUCCAGAAAACAACAGAGGAGGAGUGCAGCGGCCCAGGGCCAGAACAAACAGAGUAGCAUCAUAUGUCUCUUAGAAAACAUCACAGUAUAGCCUUUGGUAUGAAAAAAACGCCAUCAUAUACAUCGUAUAUUGUACAAAUAACAAGUCAAAGGAAAGAGACAGACAUUGUAGAAUUGUAGUAAUUGUGGGCUGACUGAUUUACUGAUUAUCAGUAUUUUAUUUUUUACUGAUUUACGGUAAUAAAUACAUUUAAAAAUGG